UAGGGAAUCUUCCACAAUGGACGAAAGUCUGAUGGAGCAACGCCGCGUGAGUGAAGAAGGAUUUCGGUUCGUAAAACUCUGUUGCAAGGGAAGAACAAGUAGCGUAGUAACUGGCGCUACCUUGACGGUACCUUGUUAGAAAGCCACGGCUAACUACGUGCCAGCAGCCGCGGUAAUACGUAGGUGGCAAGCGUUGUCCGGAAUUAUUGGGCGUAAAGCGCGCGCAGGUGGUUUCUUAAGUCUGAUGUGAAAGCCCACGGCUCAACCGUGGAGGGUCAUUGGAAACUGGGAAACUUGAGUGCAGAAGAGGAUAGUGGAAUUCCAAGUGUAGCGGUGAAAUGCGUAGAGAUUUGGAGGAACACCAGUGGCGAAGGCGACUAUCUGGUCUGUAACUGACACUGAGGCGCGAAAGCGUGGGGAGCAAACAGG
Molecule: ribosomal RNA, 429 nt
Filed under: uncultured bacterium
Lineage: Bacteria
Description: bacterial SSU rRNA
Rfam family: Bacterial small subunit ribosomal RNA
Source: RNAcentral